UACGUAGGGGGCAAGCGUUGUCCGGAAUUAUUGGGCGUAAAGCGCGCGCAGGCGGCUUUGUAAGUCUAGUGUUUAAUCUCGGAGCUCAACUCCGAUUCGCACCGGAAACUGCAAGGCUUGAGUACAGAAGAGGAAAGUGGAAUUCCACGUGUAGCGGUGAAAUGCGUAGAGAUGUGGAGGAACACCAGUGGCGAAGGCGACUUUCUGGACCACAACUGACGCUGAGGCGCGAAAGCUAGGGGAGCAAACAGG
RNAcentral lists this ribosomal RNA (252 nucleotides) under uncultured bacterium. Its description in RNAcentral is "partial 16S ribosomal RNA". It matches the Rfam family "Bacterial small subunit ribosomal RNA", at positions 524 to 776 of the family's 1533-position model. The record is from RNAcentral.